Molecule: ribosomal RNA, 253 nt
Filed under: uncultured bacterium
Lineage: Bacteria
Description: partial 16S ribosomal RNA
Rfam family: Bacterial small subunit ribosomal RNA
Source: RNAcentral
GACGUAGGAUGCAAGCGUUGUCCGGAUUUAUUGGGCGUAAAGAGUUCGUAGGUGGUUUGUUAAGUCUGAUGUUAAAGAUCGAGGCUCAACCUCGGGAGUGCAUUGGAUACUGACAGACUAGAGUAUGGUAGAGGCAAGCGGAAUUCCCAGUGUAGCGGUGAAAUGCGUAGAUAUUGGGAAGAACACCGGUGGCGUAGGCGGCUUGCUGGGCCAUAACUGACGCUGAGGAACGAAAGCCAGGGGAGCGAAUGGG